Lutra lutra (Eurasian river otter) is the source of this 1074-nucleotide long non-coding RNA. RefSeq lists it as uncharacterized. The record is from RefSeq and is a predicted model, not a curated record. The transcript has 3 exons. Lineage: Eukaryota; Metazoa; Chordata; Mammalia; Carnivora; Mustelidae.
UUUAUCUGGAUAGUGAGCAGGUGUCGGGUUUGGGAGAAAAGUCUUAAGAAGGAGGGAGCAUAGACUGGGCCUUGGAGCCAAAUACCUGGCCCUCCAUUGUUCUUUGUCAAGCAGUGUGCGUGGGACACACGGGCGAAUACGGUUACGGAAUUCCUCCGUCCAGAAAAACAGAGGAGCUGGAUCUCCGGGCACUUCUCACCGUUCUUCAUGAAUAACCCCUUUCUGUGGAUGGUAGGGGCGGCAAAUGAUUCCAGGGGUGUCCAAAUGAGUCACUGACCAGGCAGAAACUCGUUUCAGGAUCCAGUGUCACUGGGGGGUGGGUGGGGGGAGGAGGCAUGCAGGGCAGGAAGUGAAGGGGCAGAGAGAGCUGCAGUGGUGAGAGCAUGACCAUCUCCUCCUGCAAUUUCUUCUCUAGACCUUUCACUCCUUCAGUAAGAACGUGGAAAACAUCUGCUGGGUCCCCAGGGUUCGGUGGCUCGGCUGUGACCGGGGGGGGGGGGGGGGCUUCGGGGUACGACGUCCCUGCCCUUAAGAAACUUACUCUCUAUGGAGAAUGCAAAGCGCAUUUGAAGUACUUGGGCAGUAAUUACAAGACAGAUCUUUCAUUAUUGCCAUGGAAAACUCUUACUGUUUCGAAUGCCCACCCCAAUGCCUGGCAGAUAGUGAGUGUUUAAUGGAAAGUUGGAUGAAUGAUCUUCGGUCAUCCCGUGGGAGCUGGCAAAUGUAGAAAUGGGAGGCCCGCUCUAGAAAGCAGGAGACUUGGUUUUGCAAUGAGCUGUUGGAUGAGAUUGGUCAAACUUUUUAAAGCUUCUCGGCCUCCAUUUUCUCAUCCGUCACAUGGACAGAUGGGAUUAGGUGAAUGCCAAGUUGCUUGGACUUGGAUGCUUUUGUUGAGGUCUGGAAGUCGUCGUACCCCGAGAAGCCUGAGGAGAGUCACCAGCGAAAAAAAAUACUACUUUUAAAAAACUGCAUGGAAAGACAUUAAAUGAGAAUCUCCUUUGAAAUGAAAGCUCAGAUAGAAGAGCGGUUCUAUGGUAACCUCCAGCAGCUCAAUACGACUGCACCUCAAGUGGC